AGCUUGCUUCCUAGAGACCGGCGCACGGGUGCGUAACGCGUAUGCAACCUACCUUUUACAGAGGGAUAGCCCAGAGAAAUUUGGAUUAAUACCUCAUGGUAUAUAUCAUUCGCAUGUUUGAUAUAUUAAAGUUCCAACGGUAAAAGAUGGGCAUGCGUCCUAUUAGCUAGAUGGUAAGGUAACGGCUUACCAUGGCAACGAUAGGUAGGGGUCCUGAGAGGGAGAUCCCCCACACUGGUACUGAGACACGGACCAGACUCCUACGGGAGGCAGCAGUGAGGAAUAUUGGACAAUGGGCGCAAGCCUGAUCCAGCCAUGCCGCGUGCAGGAAGAAGCAUCUAUGGUGUGUAAACUGCUUUUGUACGGGAAGAACACUCCUUCGUGAAGGAGCUUGACGGUACCGUAAGAAUAAGGAUCGGCUAACUCCGUGCCAGCAGCCGCGGUAUACGGAGGAUCCAGCGUUAUCCGGAUCAUUGGGUUAAGGUCCGUAGCGGUUGGUAGUCAGUGGUGAAGCCGCAGCUCAACUGUGGACGGCAUUGAUACUG
Molecule: ribosomal RNA, 545 nt
Filed under: Flavobacterium sp. Rud11
Lineage: Bacteria; Pseudomonadati; Bacteroidota; Flavobacteriia; Flavobacteriales; Flavobacteriaceae
Description: bacterial SSU rRNA
Rfam family: Bacterial small subunit ribosomal RNA
Source: RNAcentral